GACGUAGGGUGCGAGCGUUGUCCGGAUUUAUUGGGCGUAAAGAGCUCGUAGGCGGCUUGUCGCGUCGACUGUGAAAACCCGCAGCUCAACUGCGGGCCUGCAGUCGAUACGGGCAGGCUAGAGUUCGGUAGGGGAGACUGGAAGUCCUGGUGUAGCGGUGAAAUGCGCAGAUAUCAGGAGGAACACCGGUGGCGAAGGCGGGUCUCUGGGCCGAUACUGACGCUGAGGAGCGAAAGCGUGGGGAGCGAACAGG
Molecule: ribosomal RNA, 253 nt
Filed under: uncultured bacterium
Lineage: Bacteria
Description: partial 16S ribosomal RNA
Rfam family: Bacterial small subunit ribosomal RNA
Source: RNAcentral